This is a long non-coding RNA of Helianthus annuus (common sunflower), 360 nucleotides long. RefSeq lists it as uncharacterized. The record is from RefSeq and is a predicted model, not a curated record. The transcript is spliced from 3 exons. NCBI's taxonomy places the organism in Eukaryota, Viridiplantae, Streptophyta, Magnoliopsida, Asterales, Asteraceae.
GUGACGGUGACGACUGAUGGUGACAAUGGUAUGACGCAGUAACGGCAGCGGGCCGCUACCGGCGGUUCGGGUCAAGUUCGACAGAUUCAGGUUACGAUUCUGAUGUGUUGAUUUACAUAAGUGCUAACAACCUCACCAUCUUGACAACCUACCUUGCGACACCCUUACAAAUGUUGUUCAGGUCACAUACUCGCUGAAGAUGAUUCACUUUUCUUUGCUUGCUAAGUUAAGGAUAACACAAUGGGAAUUCUUCCAACAUCUUACACAUUUGUAGUUUGUUUGGUUUUACUUGCACCCUAAGGUUAAUUUUUGAGAUGAUAUUCAAGACGAAGCAAGAUUUAGGGUGGACUAGAUACACAC